GCCCUCGUGGUGAAAUGGAUAUCACAACAGGCUUCGGACCUGUGGGUGGGGGUUCGAUUCCCUCCGAGGGCA
This 72-nucleotide transfer RNA is filed under the name bacterium. Its description in RNAcentral is "tRNA-Arg". It matches the Rfam family "tRNA". Rfam says of the family: Transfer RNA (tRNA) molecules are approximately 80 nucleotides in length. The record is from RNAcentral.